This is a long non-coding RNA of Homo sapiens (human), 1780 nucleotides long. Ensembl annotates it as TRHDE antisense RNA 1. Its record names the gene TRHDE-AS1. The record is from Ensembl. Lineage: Eukaryota; Metazoa; Chordata; Mammalia; Primates; Hominidae.
AAGGACGGGAGCGGUGGGAAGAGCGAGGGUGUAGAGAGGGAAGUUAGGGCUUUCGCUUUCUCCCCCCACUCCAGCGGCGGCGUUCGGUCCUCUGGGUGGAAUGUGCUCGCAGCAGCAGUGACGGCGGCCACAGCACGGGAGGCACCCGAGCCAUACACCCUGCAGCUGGAGAGAAAAGGAUGGCCGAGGUGGGAGAGACUAGAGUGAACCAGCAGGAGGAAGUCCCAGGGCCGCGAAGCUACGACGGAGAUCCGUCCUGGAAAAGCCUUCUCCACCCUGGGCACUUUAAGCGGCGGUGGCGGCAAACGGCAGGAGGUUGCAGACCCGACAGCGAGACUCCCUCAUUCCAGUCUUGCUCUGCCCUCCGGAGAUGACAAGUGAGAAAGAAGUGUCCGGCCGGGCCAUCCCCUUCAGAGAAGCAACCACUUCACAAGAAGAUUCUGAAGUUGGCCAUUUUUGAUCCCAGAACAGUUUCUCAUAGAUUAGAAAUAUUGGAGUCUACACAAAAAUCGAUAUUCAUUUACAAGAUCAUCACUAAACUUAUCUUGCAUAACGUCUCUGCCAGCCACAUUAACUGCCUGCAGAAAAGUUUGUUAUGACUGCCUGGUUUUGUAAAGUCCAGACAACUUUACACUAAGCUGAAUAAUGUUCAUUUACUCAAAAGCUAGUCUAAAAUUGUAGAGUUAAUGAACACUAAACCAAAGUUAGUGCUUUAACUGAAAGAUAAUUUACUGUACCCUUUGGAGUCCAGUCCGGUACCAUCAAGAUCUGGGAAAAUACAACUGUUACCAAGAAUAACUGUAAAAUGUGCUGGGAAUGCAAUGUCCUGAGAUAAGGAAGAACUGCCUGAAACAGCCUGGAUCUUAUUCCUGUACUUCCUAGGGAAUGUAACAUCUCAAGUUAAAGAGGAACUGCCCGGAACAGCCCGGGGAUUGUUCCUCUCUCCUGAGAAGGAAGAUUACCUCCAAAGCUCAUCCACUGAGUCACACUGCCCCUGUGGUGGAGGGCGGGCUGCCUUUCCAGGUUCCUCAGCUGUGGUGUAACUGAAGCAGGCACAAUCAAGACUCCAUCUGCUCGAGGCAGCUUUCUCGAACCUUGGGGAACCUACUCACAAUGGAUCACAGGCUUCUUUUGUUUUGUUUCUUGCUGCCUAUCUUGGGAAGCAAAAAUCAGCUGAGUGAAGAUGAGGAAGAAGGUGUUAAAGGUUUGAAGAAAAAAGGAAAAGGAUAUACUAAUCUAAGAGGACAAGCAAUACAUUCCUCCUUGCUCCAGAAUGCAACAUACAUGUAUCCUUUUCUGUACUAUUUUUUAUUAAGAAUUCAUACUUAAUUCCACUGACUGCCACUCAAUUUUAAUGUACAGUAGGGAAUUCCUGUACUAUGUAUUAUGAAUCCAUUCCUUUGAAUUUCAUUUAUAAUACUUCAUGACUGACACCUGGCUUUCCACCAAGACUCAAUUUUCAUAGCAAGCCUCAUCAUCAUAAGCCCCCAAAUUAACAGGAUGAGGAGGAAGAAUUGGCAGGCUAAAGAAGAUGAUUAUAUCAAUUAAUGCAGAAAAAGCAUUUGAUAAAAUCCAAUAUUCAUUUGUAAUUAAAAACUCUCAGCAAGUUAGGGAUAGGAAUUACUUCAACUUAAUGAAGAGUGUCUUUAAAAACCUUAUUUUCAUCAGUUAUAACAAAUGUACCACUCUGGUGGUGAAUGUUGCUAAGGAGGGAAGCUAUACAUGUGUGGGGAAAGGAGAUGUGUGAGCAAUUUCUGUACCUUCUACUCAAUCUUCUGUG